This 206-nucleotide non-coding RNA is filed under the name Ensifer sp. The record is from RNAcentral. Lineage: Bacteria; Pseudomonadati; Pseudomonadota; Alphaproteobacteria; Hyphomicrobiales; Rhizobiaceae.
UCUGAUAAGACGCGCGGCGCUGUAGAUCCGGCAGCGGCUGAAAAGGGAACGCGGUGAGGAUGCCCGAAAGGGGCCGAUGCCGUGGCUGCCCCCGCAACUGUGAGCGGAAAGCGCAUCCACAACAUGUCACUGGCCGUGGAGGCCGGGAAGACGUAGAUGCGCCGCGACCCGCGAGCCAGGAGACCUGCCAUCGAACCGAUCAACCA